AUGGUCUUAGCUUGCUAAGGCCGAUGGCGACCGGCGCACGGGUGAGUAACACGUAUCCAACCUGCCGUCUACUCUUGGACAGCCUUCUGAAAGGAAGAUUAAUACAAGAUGGCAUCAUGAGUCCGCAUGUUCACAUGAUUAAAGGUAUUCCGGUAGACGAUGGGGAUGCGUUCCAUUAGAUAGUAGGCGGGGUAACGGCCCACCUAGUCUUCGAUGGAUAGGGGUUCUGAGAGGAAGGUCCCCCACAUUGGAACUGAGACACGGUCCAAACUCCUACGGGAGGCAGCAGUGAGGAAUAUUGGUCAAUGGGCGAGAGCCUGAACCAGCCAAGUAGCGUGAAGGAUGACUGCCCUAUGGGUUGUAAACUUCUUUUAUAAAGGAAUAAAGUCGGGUAUGGAUACCCGUUUGCAUGUACUUUAUGAAUAAGGAUCGGCUAACUCCGUGCCAGCAGCCGCGGUAAUACGGAGGAUCCGAGCGUUAUCCGGAUUUAUUGGGUUUAAAGGGAGCGUAGAUGGAUGUUUAAGUCAGUUGUGAAAGUUUGCGGCUCAACCGUAAAAUUGCAGUUGAUACUGGAUAUCUUGAGUGCAGUUGAGGCAGGCGGAAUUCGUGGUGUAGCGGUGAAAUGCUUAGAUAUCACGAAGAACUCCGAUUGCGAAGGCAGCCUGCUAAGCUGCAACUGACAUUGAGGCUCGAAAGUGUGGG
RNAcentral lists this ribosomal RNA (702 nucleotides) under uncultured Bacteroidales bacterium. RNAcentral describes it as "bacterial SSU rRNA". It matches the Rfam family "Bacterial small subunit ribosomal RNA", at positions 69 to 765 of the family's 1533-position model. The record is from RNAcentral. Lineage: Bacteria; Pseudomonadati; Bacteroidota; Bacteroidia; Bacteroidales.